Non-coding RNA from Zootermopsis nevadensis, 399 nucleotides. NCBI's taxonomy places the organism in Eukaryota, Metazoa, Arthropoda, Insecta, Blattodea, Termopsidae. The record is from RefSeq and is a predicted model, not a curated record.
GAAGGAUACCAGACAAGACAGUAGGUCUGUUGUCACCUGGAACGCUAAUGGAUUACUGGAAAUUCUUUCAUCUUCCACUUGUGACAAAAACUGAGUAGCAGCGUCAUGCAUUUCAUCUACAAUGUCAGCAGGUUCCAGAACCCACCAUAACAGCAUGCUGAGAUGGCAGCGCUUGAACCACUGGAAAAUGGGUUACUCACAACAGAGCAGAAUAUAGCUCGGUGGGUUCCAAGUGACAUGGGAAAAUGCACUCACCAAAAGGAUGGUGGACAUCUACACCCAUUUUAUUUAAAUAAAGUAUUGUUGCUGUGAGAGCAUCAACUGACAUAUCUUCAUUCCACUGGCUCACUAAGUGCAAAAGCAUCCCAAAAUCUGGAUGUCCGCUAACUUCAUUAAUAU